UACGGAGGGUGCGAGCGUUAAUCGGAAUUACUGGGCGUAAAGCGCGCGUAGGCGGUGGGCUAAGUCUGCUGUGAAAGCCCUGGGCUUAACCUGGGAACGGCAGUGGAUACUGGUCGACUAGAGUGUGGUAGAGGAUGGCGGAAUUUCCGGUGUAGCAGUGAAAUGCGUAGAGAUCGGAAGGAACACCAGUGGCGAAGGCGGCCAUCUGGACCAACACUGACGCUGAGGUGCGAAAGCGUGGGGAGCAAAC
Molecule: ribosomal RNA, 250 nt
Filed under: uncultured bacterium
Lineage: Bacteria
Description: partial 16S ribosomal RNA
Rfam family: Bacterial small subunit ribosomal RNA
Source: RNAcentral